Sander lucioperca (pikeperch) is the source of this 141-nucleotide long non-coding RNA. RefSeq lists it as uncharacterized. The transcript is spliced from 3 exons. Lineage: Eukaryota; Metazoa; Chordata; Actinopteri; Perciformes; Percidae. The record is from RefSeq and is a predicted model, not a curated record.
CUGAGCGACCAAAGCGUCUAGCAGCUUCCCCGUACUUUUUGACAAGCGUCCUUGACAGGGUGGCCAGAGCUUCUUUGCAGCUCAAGUCGGUGGCGGUGUGUACGUACAGUUAGUCAGCCUUUUUUUUUUGUAUCAACAUUU